Molecule: non-coding RNA, 233 nt
Organism: Papio anubis (olive baboon)
Lineage: Eukaryota; Metazoa; Chordata; Mammalia; Primates; Cercopithecidae
Source: Rfam
AAUUGAGUGCCCAAAGUGUGAGAGGGCUCCCGAAACUGCAUGCUUGGUUGAAGAAGACAACCAUCCCUGAUAGAGAACUGGUCUUCGGUCAAGGGUAUAUGAGCAGCUGCACUCCCCUGCUAGAACCUCCAAACAAACUCUCAAGGUCCAAAGUGUGAGAGGGUGGCCGUGCAUGGUGGUUCACGCCUGUAAUCCCAGCACUAUGGGAGGCGGAGGUGGGUGGAUCACUUGAG